Molecule: long non-coding RNA, 421 nt
Filed under: Trifolium pratense (red clover)
Lineage: Eukaryota; Viridiplantae; Streptophyta; Magnoliopsida; Fabales; Fabaceae
Description: long non-coding RNA (TPRA_LNC004866)
Source: RNAcentral
CUGCCUAUAUUCAGGACUUGCUGGAUCAUUACAGUUGUCAGCCACAUUAAUCAAAAAUUCUUUGACAAGCCUGUCAUAGCACUUGUCCAGACCAACCACAGUUUUCAUCAAACCUGCAUACUCAAGGGCUUCAACAACACUUGGACAUUCAAGAGUAUCAUCUUUUAAAUUCCUUUCCAGAGCCAGCCUCCUAUGAUACACAAAUUUUCAUCUAGCAGACCGAUUCUCCAGAUGGAAUGAUACAUUAUCCAAGGGAGCAUAGGGAACAGAUUGAGGAACUUUCUUCCUUCCUAUACUCUUUCUAGAUGUGCUGCCAGAUGCAGCAACAUCUGUCUCUGGCUCAAACUCAGAGUCACUGGUUGGUGGAGCUUUCCUUUUCCUAGUCUCAGUUCUAGGAACCACCUUACUAACAGGUUUUGGA